Molecule: ribosomal RNA, 478 nt
Filed under: uncultured bacterium
Lineage: Bacteria
Description: partial 16S ribosomal RNA
Rfam family: Bacterial small subunit ribosomal RNA
Source: RNAcentral
GAUGAACGCUGACAGAAUGCUUAACACAUGCAAGUCGAUUCAAGUUACCUUCGGGUAACGAGGAUGGGGGACGGGUGAGUAACACGUAAGGAACGUGCCUCUUGGUCUGGGACAACUGUUGGAAACGACAGCUACUACAGGAUAGUAGGAGAUUCACGCAUGGGAAACUUAUGAAAGCUAUGUGCGCCAAGAUUUAGCCUUGCGUUCCAUUAGCUAGUUGGUGGGGUAACGGCCCACCAAGGCGACGAUGGAUAUCCGGCCUGAGAGGGUGAACGACCACAAGGGGACUGGGACACGGCCCUUACUCCUACGGGAGUCAGCAGUGGAAAAUAUUGGACAAUAGUCCACAAGCCUGAUCCAGCAAUUCUGUGUGCACGAUGAAGGUCUUCGGAUUGUAAAGUGCUUUCAGUUGAGAAGACGUAAGUGACGGUACCAACAGAAGAAGCGACGGUUAAAUACGUGCCAGCCGCCGCGGUAA